GGGGAAUAUUGGACAAUGGGCGCAAGCCUGAUCCAGCCAUGCCGCGUGUGUGAAGAAGGCCUUUUGGUUGUAAAGCACUUUAAGCGAGGAGGAGGGCACUUAGGAUAAUACCCUGAUGUGUCGGACGUUACUCGCAGAAUAAGCACCGGCUAACUCUGUGCCAGCAGCCGCGGUAAUACAGAGGGUGCGAGCGUUAAUCGGAAUUACUGGGCGUAAAGCGCGCGUAGGCGGUUAUGUAAGUUGGAUGUGAAAUCCCCGGGCUUAACCUGGGCACUGCAUUCAAAACUGCAUAGCUAGAGUAUGGGAGAGGAUGGUAGAAUUCCAGGUGUAGCGGUGAAAUGCGUAGAGAUCUGGAGGAAUACCGAUGGCGAAGGCAGCCAUCUGGCCUAAUACUGACGCUGAGGUGCGAAAGCAUGGGGAGCAAAC
RNAcentral lists this ribosomal RNA (426 nucleotides) under uncultured bacterium. Its description in RNAcentral is "bacterial SSU rRNA". It matches the Rfam family "Bacterial small subunit ribosomal RNA", at positions 356 to 773 of the family's 1533-position model. The record is from RNAcentral.